This is a non-coding RNA of Dermatophagoides farinae (American house dust mite), 514 nucleotides long. The record is from RefSeq and is a predicted model, not a curated record. Lineage: Eukaryota; Metazoa; Arthropoda; Arachnida; Sarcoptiformes; Pyroglyphidae.
CAGAAUAAUAAAUUAUAUAACAAAAUAUUCAAGGUAUAUUUGUUCGGGAAAAAUUUGACAACUACAAGUCGAACAGUGACAAAGUUUUUUUCUUCUCUUUCUCUGUUUCAAGAGCCAAUUUCCCAUCAUCAUCAUCAUCACCAUUUAUUCUCAUGGUUUCAUUUGGGUGUUUUCAAUGCCAAACAUUAAACGUGCGUGUGUGUGUGUGUUUGACGACCAUUAACAUUAUUAUUUCAGCCAAUAUUUAUUCCAUUCCAGAAUUCCUAGGAAUUUCUGUUCAUUUUUACUACUCCUCCUCCUCUCUGUUCUUAUUUUCACUUGUCAUACCAACCAUUGAUUAGUUGUGAUAUAUCACAUGAUGAUGAUAAACACACAGUUGACUAUCAUCAGGAUCGAAUGAUCGGGUGAUUUUUGGGUGUUGGAACACCAGGCGUCAUUAUCCUUUAUACAAUUUAUAAUUUUGAAAUACAAGAGAUGCGCCACCUAUCAAUUAAACAAAUAACUUUUUACAUAA